CCUACGGGUGGCUGCAGUGGGGAAUAUUGCACAAUGGGGGAAACCCUGAUGCAGCGACGCCGCGUGAGCGAGGAAGUAUUUCGGUAUGUAAAGCUCUAUCAGCAGGGACGAAAAAAGACGGUACCUGACUAAGAAGCCCCGGCUAACUACGUGCCAGCAGCCGCGGUAAUACGUAGGGGGCAAGCGUUAUCCGGAUUUACUGGGUGUAAAGGGAGCGUAGACGGCGAUGCAAGUCUGAAGUGAAAGGCGGGGGCCCAACCCCUGGACUGCUUUGGAAACUGUAUGGCUGGAGUGCAGGAGAGGUAAGUGGAAUUCCGAGUGGAGCGGUGAAAUGCGUAGAUAUUAGGAGGAACACCAGUGGCGAAGGCGGCUUACUGGACUGUAACUGACGUUGAGGCUCGAAAGCGUGGGGAGCAAACAGGAUUAGAUACCCCAGUAGUC
This 441-nucleotide ribosomal RNA is filed under the name uncultured bacterium. RNAcentral describes it as "partial 16S ribosomal RNA". It matches the Rfam family "Bacterial small subunit ribosomal RNA", at positions 338 to 795 of the family's 1533-position model. The record is from RNAcentral.